GACGAACGCUGGCGGCGUGCUUAACACAUGCAAGUCGAACGAUGAAGCCGGAGCUUGCUCUGGUGAAUUAGUGGCGAACGGGUGAGUAACACGUGAGUAACCUGCCCUUGACUCUUGGAUAACUGCUAGAAAUGGUAGCUAAUACCGGAUACGACCCUCGGAGGCAUCUCCAGGGGGUGGAAAGAAUUUCGGUCAAGGAUGGACUCGCGGCCUAUCAGCUAGUUGGUGAGGUAACGGCUCACCAAGGCGACGACGGGUAGCCGGCCUAAGAGGGUGACCGGCCACACUGGGACUGAGACACGGCCCAGACUCCUACGGGAGGCAGCAGUGGGGAAUAUUGCACAAUGGGCGCAAGCCUGAUGCAGCAACGCCGCGUGAGGGAUGACGGCCUUCGGGUUGUAAAGCUCUUUCGUCCGGGACGAUAAUGACGGUACCGGAAGAAGAAGCCCCGGCUAACUUCGUGCCAGCCGCCGCGGUAA
This 479-nucleotide ribosomal RNA is filed under the name uncultured bacterium. RNAcentral describes it as "partial 16S ribosomal RNA". It matches the Rfam family "Bacterial small subunit ribosomal RNA", at positions 28 to 523 of the family's 1533-position model. The record is from RNAcentral.